ACUUGGCUGGCUCAGUUGGUAGAGUGUGUGACUCUUGAUCUCGGGGUUGUGAAUUCGAGUCCCAUGUUGGGUG
Molecule: transfer RNA, 73 nt
Organism: Felis catus (domestic cat)
Lineage: Eukaryota; Metazoa; Chordata; Mammalia; Carnivora; Felidae
Rfam family: tRNA
About the family: Transfer RNA (tRNA) molecules are approximately 80 nucleotides in length.
Source: Rfam